RNAcentral lists this ribosomal RNA (484 nucleotides) under uncultured bacterium. RNAcentral describes it as "partial 16S ribosomal RNA". It matches the Rfam family "Bacterial small subunit ribosomal RNA", at positions 30 to 507 of the family's 1533-position model. The record is from RNAcentral.
AUUGAACGCUGGCGGCAGGCCUAACACAUGCAAGUCGAGCGGAUGAAGGGAGCUUGCUCCUGGAUUCAGCGGCGGACGGGUGAGUAAUGCCUAGGAAUCUGCCUGGUAGUGGGGGAUAACGUCCGGAAACGGGCGCUAAUACCGCAUACGUCCUGAGGGAGAAAGUGGGGGAUCUUCGGACCUCACGCUAUCAGAUGAGCCUAGGUCGGAUUAGCUAGUUGGUGGGGUAAAGGCCUACCAAGGCGACGAUCCGUAACUGGUCUGAGAGGAUGAUCAGUCACACUGGAACUGAGACACGGUCCAGACUCCUAAGGGAGGCAGCAGUGGGGAAUAUUGGACAAUGGGCGAAAGCCUGAUCCAGCCAUGCCGCGUGUGUGAAGAAGGUCUUCGGAUUGUAAAGCACUUUAAGUUGGGAGGAGGGGCAGUAAGUUAAUACCUUGCUGUUUUGACGUUACCAACAGAAUAAGCACCGGCUAACUUCGUG